GUCAGACUUCUCCUGCUCUUUCUGGGUUUCUCUUUUGUGCUCUCUUCUCUUGCUGUUCCUUCAACUAGAAGCCUCAAAUCAACUGAAGAAAACCCAUCAUCAGUAGUUCAAGAUUUUCUCACUCAGGAUGCAAUGGACUUGAAUCUUGUAGAGGAACAAGUUCUUGAUUUGGGAGAAGGGUAUAUUAAUGGAAGGAUGGAUUUGGAAAACACAGAUUAUCCAGGAACUGGAGCAAACAAUCACCAUGAUCCAAAAACUCCAGGAAGAGCUUAAAGAAUGUAUCCAUGUGCAGAUCAAGACUUCAAAACAAGAAGAAAGAGGAAGAAGAAGCUGUGGAUUUGGGUUUGCUUUUUAUGCAUUAUAUUAAUUAAUUAUGAAGAGGAUGCUUGUUUGUCUGUCUAUUUAUGGAAUGUAUUAAUUAAUUAAUUAUUCAAUAAUCUAACUUUUAAUUCAGAUUAGAAGAAGAGGAAGGGGAAGGGGAGGUUCCAUUUUGUACAAGGAAUGCAGGAAUUAAUGCUAUGGAUCUAAAAUGUGGUGGGUUUUAAUUAUUAACUGGG
This 557-nucleotide unclassified non-coding RNA is filed under the name Hevea brasiliensis (rubber tree). Lineage: Eukaryota; Viridiplantae; Streptophyta; Magnoliopsida; Malpighiales; Euphorbiaceae. The record is from RNAcentral.